RNAcentral lists this ribosomal RNA (504 nucleotides) under uncultured bacterium. RNAcentral describes it as "partial 16S ribosomal RNA". It matches the Rfam family "Bacterial small subunit ribosomal RNA", at positions 30 to 523 of the family's 1533-position model. The record is from RNAcentral.
AUUGAACGCUGGCGGCAGGCCUAACACAUGCAAGUCGAACGGUAGCACAGAGAGCUUGCUCUCGGGUGACGAGUGGCGGACGGGUUAGUAAUGUCUGGGAAACUGCCCGAUGGAGGGGGAUAACUACUGGAAACGGUAGCUAAUACCGCAUAACGUCGCAAGACCAAAGUGGGGGACCUUCGGGCCUCACACCAUCGGAUGUGCCCAGAUGGGAUUAGCUAGUAGGUGGGGUAAUGGCUCACCUAGGCGACGAUCCCUAGCUGGUCUGAGAGGAUGACCAGCCACACUGGAACUGAGACACGGUCCAGACUCCUACGGGAGUCAGCAGUGGGGAAUAUUGCACAAUGGGCGCAAGCCUGAUGCAGCCAUGCCGCGUGUAUGAAGAAGGCCUUCGGGUUGUAAAGUACUUUCAGCGGGGAGGAAGGCGGUGAAGUUAAUAGCUUCACCGAUUGACGUUACCCGCAGAAGAAGCACCGGCUAACUCCGUGCCAGCCGCCGCCGUAA